GUGUUGGUGAAGCAUGGAGCAAAAAGGGGGCCCCAUGAAAAAGGAGGUCAAAGACACAGAAGAGCAUUUCAGAGUGGAGUGGAAGAAAGAGCAAGUUAGACGGAGGAUGAGGAGAGAGUAAAAGGAGAUCCACAGCGAGGAGGAAGGCCUUCUCAAAGCGCUGGUGUCUGCGGACAGAGAGGAGAUACAGACAAAUAGAUCACUGGUACACAUUUCUACCAUUGCUCCAGCCUCAGCAGGUAGUUGGUGAUGGAGCUCAGGCCUCGGUGGCAUUCGUCUCCCAUGAUGCUCCAGUCCAUGGACUCCAGGAU
Molecule: long non-coding RNA, 311 nt
Organism: Solea solea (common sole)
Lineage: Eukaryota; Metazoa; Chordata; Actinopteri; Pleuronectiformes; Soleidae
Exons: 3
Source: RefSeq, a predicted model, not a curated record